Molecule: long non-coding RNA, 202 nt
Filed under: Capsicum annuum
Lineage: Eukaryota; Viridiplantae; Streptophyta; Magnoliopsida; Solanales; Solanaceae
Description: long non-coding RNA (CANN_LNC006564)
Source: RNAcentral
UUAAAUUAAUUAUGCGAAGACCAUUUAAAAAUAGAGAAGCUUUUAGAAAAAUUAAAGAAUCAUUAAUUAGUAAUUAUUCAGAAUAUAUAAGUCUAAAUAAAACAAAAGAAAAUCCACAAAAACUAGCCUAUUUAAUUACAUUAAUAUCUAGUAUUGAAUCAAAAUUAAUAACACAUUUAAAAUCUAGAAGAAUGAAACAUAC